AAUUAAUUAGCUUAUACAAAGCAUGUAUUUUGAAAAUAUAAGAAAGACCAAAAAUUUAUUAAUUU
RNAcentral lists this transfer RNA (65 nucleotides) under Thrips setosus. RNAcentral's name for it is "tRNA-Ser". Lineage: Eukaryota; Metazoa; Arthropoda; Insecta; Thysanoptera; Thripidae. The record is from RNAcentral.